GGAGGUGCUCGGCUCGCUGGUGCGGCCCCCGGUCUUCAAAACCGCGGCAGGGUGCGAGGAGCAUCCCGGGCGGGUUCGAUUCCCGUGCACCUCCG
This 95-nucleotide transfer RNA is filed under the name Myxococcales bacterium. RNAcentral describes it as "tRNA-Sec". It matches the Rfam family "Selenocysteine transfer RNA". RNAcentral also lists the same sequence under 1 other name. Lineage: Bacteria; Pseudomonadati; Myxococcota; Myxococcia; Myxococcales. The record is from RNAcentral.